AAGAUUUCAGGUCUGAAGGCAAAGCUUCUAACUUUUUCCUUUUAGCGGUUAAACUCCGUUUAAAUCUUU
RNAcentral lists this transfer RNA (69 nucleotides) under Willemoesia forceps. Its description in RNAcentral is "tRNA-Ser". Lineage: Eukaryota; Metazoa; Arthropoda; Malacostraca; Decapoda; Polychelidae. The record is from RNAcentral.